Small nucleolar RNA from Tachyglossus aculeatus (Australian echidna), 138 nucleotides. Lineage: Eukaryota; Metazoa; Chordata; Mammalia; Monotremata; Tachyglossidae. The record is from RefSeq and is a predicted model, not a curated record.
UCCCUCUCAGGGUUGUUCCUGGAGUGUUUCCAGUACUCUACCAGUCUCAGCUACGGGAGGGUGAGUCAAGCAGAGGUAUACUCAUUCCAUUCCUAACUUGGGCAGUGGUUAGUGAGUGGAAGGCAAUCUGCUACAAGG